This 329-nucleotide ribosomal RNA is filed under the name uncultured eukaryote. RNAcentral describes it as "partial 18S ribosomal RNA". It matches the Rfam family "Eukaryotic small subunit ribosomal RNA", at positions 1470 to 1796 of the family's 1831-position model. The record is from RNAcentral.
CCCUUAGAUGUUCUGGGCCGCACGCGCGCUACACUGAUGCAUUCAACGAGUCUAAAACCUGGUCUGAUAGGGCUGGGUAAUCUUUUGAAAGUGCAUCGUGAUUGGGAUAGAUGAUUGCAAUUCUUCAUCUUCAACGAGGAAUGCCUAGUAAACGCAAGUCAUCAGCUUGCAUUGAUUACGUCCCUGCCCUUUGUACACACCGCCCGUCGCUACUACCGAUUGGGAAAAUUUUAGAGAGUCCUGGACUGAUGAUUGUUCGGCUUCACGGCCUUACUUUCGUCGGGAAAGAAUUCGAUAAUAUUUUUCUAGAGGAAGUAAAAGUCGUAACA